GACGAACGCUGGCGGCGUGCUUAACACAUGCAAGUCGAACGGAAAGGCCCUGCUUUUGUGGGGUGCUCGAGUGGCGAACGGGUGAGUAACACGUGAGUAACCUGCCCUUGACUUUGGGAUAACUUCAGGAAACUGGGGCUAAUACCGGAUAGGAGCUCCUGCUGCAUGGUGGGGGUUGGAAAGUUUCGGCGGUUGGGGAUGGACUCGCGGCUUAUCAGCUUGUUGGUGGGGUAGUGGCUUACCAAGGCUUUGACGGGUAGCCGGCCUGGGAGGGUAACCGGCCACAUUGGGACUGAGAUACGGCCCAGACUCCUACGGGAGGCAGCAGUGGGGAAUAUUGCACAGUGGGCGGAAGCCUGAUGCAGCAACGCCGCGUGCGGGAUGACGGCCUUCGGGUUGUAAACCGCUUUCGCCUGUGACGAAGCGUGAGUGACGGUAAUGGGUAAAGAAGCACCGGCUAACUACGUG
RNAcentral lists this ribosomal RNA (468 nucleotides) under uncultured bacterium. RNAcentral's name for it is "partial 16S ribosomal RNA". It matches the Rfam family "Bacterial small subunit ribosomal RNA", at positions 28 to 507 of the family's 1533-position model. The record is from RNAcentral.